GCGUGCUGUUCCUUCACUGGUAGUUGUCUGUCUUCUACUGCACAUCAUUGUCAAGUGCUUAACAAUUAGUUAAUUAAAUAUAGUUCUGGGAUAACUUCAGAGAAAUUAUUUUACAGCACAGCAGGUGGAAGAAAGUGCUGCCUGUUAACAAUUUGUCUGUCAGAGUAACAGCUGGCAAGCAAAGGGCCUGAAGCAAAAACCACUCAUCCAGGUGCAAAUACAGCGGGACCAGGCUCCUGUACACCUCCUUCCUCAUCUUCCUCUUUUCUGUGCCCUUCACAAAGCUCAGCGUUUUGAGGAAGAGGUGGAUGGAGAGCUGCCACAUCCUGCUGGACUCCUGUGGAGGAGGAGGGAAGGAUGUCAGUGUCAGCAGCUCCAAGCCCAAGGUGAGCAGGGCCAGCACCGCCAACCACAUGGGAGCAGAAUCUCUGAGCUGAGAGGCUGCAGGCAGAUCUUGAGGAUGGCCCCAAAACUGCUCCAAAGUGCACAAGCUCUGCCCUGCAGGGAGUCUGCCCAGGGACACACAGAGCCUGGAACAGGCGACCAGCCAGGAAGUUCCCUGGUGUGCUGUCACAGGGCAGCAGGCAUGGGCACACUGGGG
This 601-nucleotide long non-coding RNA is filed under the name Numida meleagris (helmeted guineafowl). RNAcentral describes it as "lncRNA (ENSNMEG00000008839.1)". The record is from RNAcentral. Lineage: Eukaryota; Metazoa; Chordata; Aves; Galliformes; Numididae.